Non-coding RNA from Anaerolineae bacterium SG8_19, 74 nucleotides. The record is from Rfam. NCBI's taxonomy places the organism in Bacteria, Bacillati, Chloroflexota, Anaerolineae.
AGGCGCGUAGCUCAGUUGGCUAGAGCGCAUCCUUGACAUGGAUGAGGUCGUUGGUUCGAUUCCAAUCGCGCCUA